This 1433-nucleotide long non-coding RNA is filed under the name Salmo salar (Atlantic salmon). RNAcentral's name for it is "lncRNA (ENSSSAG00000105374.1)". Lineage: Eukaryota; Metazoa; Chordata; Actinopteri; Salmoniformes; Salmonidae. The record is from RNAcentral.
CAGACUCUGCUCUGUACUACUGUGCCUUGCAAUCCACAGUGACAGGAAACCCAGAAACAGAAAACCUGACAACAUACAGUAUACUGUAGAAAGAAAGCCGUAGCAGAAAACAUUUCACUUUGGUGUCAAGAGGAGGGGCUGUAUAAUCAAAGAUCUUAUGGGAAGUUAUUAUUCAGGAAGUAGCUAGUUAGUUACGUCUCUUAGUGCUGAAGUGCUGUCUGUCUGUCUGUGUGUUACUCAAAGGUCUAGCCAGAUGUUGCUCUUCUCAUGUGUUCUCUUUUCAGCUUUUUUAGGAAACAGUUUUGGUUUUUCAAUAAACCCUGCUACUACUGAAGAGCUUGUUCAGGAAGAAAGGAAUGUCAAUCUCUCCUGCAAAUAUGAUGGCAAUGUCUACAAUCUCCAGUGGUACCGCCAAUAUCCCAGGUCCAAACCAGAAUUCCUCCUGUACAUCACACCAGAGGGGUCUAUAUUUAAAGCUACUCCCCCACCUCCUCGUCUGACAGUUUCCAUUGACAAAGUGGAAAAACGUGUGGAUCUGAAGAUCUCCUAUGCUGUAGUGACAGACUCUGCUCUGUACUACUGUGCCCUGACGCCCACAGUGACAGGAAACCCAGAAAUACUGUACAAAAACAUGUCAAGUGCCAUGGAAAGAAACCAAUGAGAAGGGGAGGAGCUGCAUCUAGGCAAGAGACGAGUAAAUAUUCAGAGAUAGCCAAGAUUAUGUUUCUGUAUGCAGUGCUGCUGCUCUGCACAUGUGUAGAUGACAGUUUAGAGAAUGAUAUCGCUCCUUUAAGAAAUGAAGUGCAUGGCUUGGAGGGAACCACUGUCAUCGUGUCCUACAACUACUCCUCAACUUCUACAAUUGGAAAUAGAUUCUACUGGUAUCAUCAAACCAGUGCUGGGAAAAUGACAAUAUUCCUUCUAUGGAUGAUGAAUACAGACUUCCAAGAGAAUUGGCCGCCUGGUAGUCUGUUAUAUUGAUACAGAGACCAAACAUCUGGAUCUGAAGAUCUCCUCUGCUGAAGUGCCAUGAAGACCACAGCGACACUACAAAAACCUGUCAAGAACCAUGGGAGGAAACAGACAUCAUGUAUGACAUACAUAUGUAACAUAUCUACUGUAUGUUAAGGUGAGGGACUUAUGGUAGAGGAGGAGCUGAACAACAGUAUAGAAACCUAAAACAGGAGGAAACAUUCAGAGACUGCUGAGAUCUUUCUGUCAGUUUGUCUCUGUUAAUCUAAUAUGGUGUUGUUGGAUUCAGUGUUGUUCCUGACUAUAUGUAUGGGUAGGGGAUACAAUACAAUACAAUACAUGACAAAACAAUACAAUUCAAUACACUGCAUUGCCAUGAUUGUCAAUAUGAAUUCAAUUCAAGUUCAAUAUAUUUUAUUCAACAAUUAAAUGUAUGUGUAUUAAAACCAUUCUCUAUGCAG